Molecule: long non-coding RNA, 425 nt
Organism: Ostrinia nubilalis (European corn borer)
Lineage: Eukaryota; Metazoa; Arthropoda; Insecta; Lepidoptera; Crambidae
Exons: 3
Source: RefSeq, a predicted model, not a curated record
GUUGGGUAAGAACAUGACAUUUUAUUACCCAAUUCACAUUUCAUUAUCUGCUUUCAGUUCCCCUUACAACUACAACCAAACAACUAAAUUCAACAUGUUUGGGAGCUGUGGAUAUACCAGAUUCUGGUAUUUCUGCGAAAACAACUUUUGAACCUCUUCCUUCUACUUCCAAUGCACCAGAACAUAUGACCUAUAAACCCAUUACUCAUGAUGAUAAAAACAUUUGCCAUCAAGAUGCACAGGCAGAAAUAUUAGUCCACAGUUAUAAAAGACCUAAGAAAAACAUUGAAAUGAAAGACACUUCAUCAACAUUUACAAUUAAAGAGAAGAGGCUUUGGCGACAGUUACAAAAUGCAAAAAAAACAAUAAGGAAUAUAGCGAAGUCAAGAGUGAAUUUAGACAAGUUAGAUUCGGAAGUGCUGACA